Molecule: long non-coding RNA, 324 nt
Filed under: Malus domestica (apple)
Lineage: Eukaryota; Viridiplantae; Streptophyta; Magnoliopsida; Rosales; Rosaceae
Description: long non-coding RNA (MDOM_LNC005066)
Source: RNAcentral
AUACUAACUAGAUCGUAAUACUAAUCGGCAAUCAUAUUUGUAUUUUACUUUGUCAUAGUACAGUUUUAUAGGUUUAUUUAAGUUUUAUAAUACUAAAAAACAAACUUGCUAUGCUUCUUCUUGAUAAUUUUUAGGUUAGACGUAGUGAUUUCUAAGGCUUCGACAAAGAAUACAAAUAUUGUUACCGAUUAGACUCAUCGGUUUAUCUAUUUAUGAUAUAGCUCAUUAGCUGAAACAUUUUUCGUUGUGAUCAGGUCAGAUAUAGAAGAUUUGUGAAUCAACAAUAAAUAUAAAAUUUGUAUCGUCACCAAAUGAUAUGGUGGU